AAAUUGAAGAGUUUGAUCAUGGCUCAGAUUGAACGCUGGCGGCAGGCCUAACACAUGCAAGUCGAGCGGAAACGAGUUAUCAGAACCUUCGGGGAACGAUAAUGGCGUCGAGCGGCGGACGGGUGAGUAAUGCCUAGGAAAUUGCCCUGAUGUGGGGGAUAACCAUUGGAAACGAUGGCUAAUACCGCAUGAUGCCUACGGGCCAAAGAGGGGGACCUUCGGGCCUCUCGCGUCAGGA
Molecule: ribosomal RNA, 238 nt
Filed under: Vibrio parahaemolyticus
Lineage: Bacteria; Pseudomonadati; Pseudomonadota; Gammaproteobacteria; Vibrionales; Vibrionaceae
Description: partial 16S ribosomal RNA
Rfam family: Bacterial small subunit ribosomal RNA
Source: RNAcentral